CGCUUGCUCAGUAACUGGGGCUACUUAAAAUAUUUGGAGGUGAAAAGAAAAUGGCUAUCUCAAAACAAGAAAAAGCUGAAAUCAUCAAAGCAUACGCAACACACGAA
Molecule: non-coding RNA, 107 nt
Filed under: Brochothrix thermosphacta
Lineage: Bacteria; Bacillati; Bacillota; Bacilli; Caryophanales; Listeriaceae
Description: S15
Rfam family: Ribosomal S15 leader
About the family: The E. coli Ribosomal S15 gene 5' UTR can form two alternative structures. One that is a series of three hairpins, The other includes a pseudoknot.
Source: RNAcentral